AUGUUUUUGCAGCACAUGUACUAAAACCAGAAUAAUAAAAAAAAGAUAAGCAGGGCCCCUGCACAAGGAUAACAAGCAAGUUUGUGAAGCAUUCCAUAUUUUU
RNAcentral lists this small nuclear RNA (103 nucleotides) under Dasypus novemcinctus (nine-banded armadillo). The record is from RNAcentral. Lineage: Eukaryota; Metazoa; Chordata; Mammalia; Cingulata; Dasypodidae.